This 1168-nucleotide long non-coding RNA is filed under the name Felis catus (domestic cat). RNAcentral's name for it is "lncRNA (ENSFCAG00000045198.2)". Lineage: Eukaryota; Metazoa; Chordata; Mammalia; Carnivora; Felidae. The record is from RNAcentral.
AAUCAAAUCCUGUGACGGAUACACGAACAGUGCCCAUUAUAACAGAUUUUUGUGGAAAACGUGAGGUUCUGAAUGUUCAAAGUUGUUGAUAUCUAGAAUUGGCAUAUUACCAUUUUUAAAAUGUAAUGUCUUGUUACUUGCUGGAACUUUAAAGCUUCUUAAGGGAUUUGAUUUUGUUUCUAAAGGAAGAAAAAGGGACAGGUGGAUAUUGUGCUCUCCGCUUCUUAUCUCUCCUGACCCUUAAGCUGAUCUGUACUUUGUGAUGUUCAUUCUUUAUUGCAGUUUACCUUGGGUCUGGUCAAACACCGGUGGGGAGAAACGAUCAGAUUAUUGAUCCCAUUUUGUCGGUGCCAUUUCCCUCAACAAAGAUGCUCACUUUCAUUUUAAUCCUGCUCUAAUCUUUAAAAUGUCUGUUGACAGAAGUCUUCUGAGGCCUUUCAUCUGCAAAAGCCAGUUUUCUCCCCUUUUCUCUAGAUAUUUUUGUAGAGUUAAGUCUGGGGCUCCCGCGGCCGUUUCCCAGCGUUUUGUGCCUGCUGUCCUCUUCCCAGUGCCGGUGUUGGUUAGAAUGAAAUGCAGAGAGAAGUUAACCAGGUACCAGGGCUGUUUAAACUGCCUCUUCUCCAAUGGUGGCCACUGCUUCCUCCUUCCCAGCAAGUGGAGGUAAUUGGAAUAAGAAUAUUCAUUCCUUUCCGAUAUUGCCCAAGUGUUUCUUUCUCUGCCACGUGUCUCCUUAUACCAUCAGACAAAUCAAGCAUGCCCUCUCUGCCCCACUGAACCUUUGCUAAAUGCACAUUAUAGUACUAUCUAGCAGUGGUAUAAUUAUUAGUCUCCUCUGGAUUGUGAACUAUGUGAGGGCAAGAAUUUUCAUUUAUCUUUGCAUUUCGAAUUCAUAUCAAAGUGCUUUGUACAUUGCAGGUACCCAGUAGGUGUGGAAGACUUCAUGCAUAUGAUUAAUUUGCACUUCACAUACUUAACGGGUUGAUUAAGUUUUAUAGAUUGGCUUGAAACCUAAUCAUCUUCAGUACUCUUGGUGAAAGGAGGUGAAUGCGAAGAUUUGAACAACGUACUUCUCCUGAAACUAAUGUUACACUAUAUGUUGACUAACUGGAAUUGAAAUACAAACUUGAAACAAAAUAAAAAACAACCUACUUAAUAUUAACUUUUGAAU